This 222-nucleotide long non-coding RNA is filed under the name Carica papaya (papaya). Its description in RNAcentral is "long non-coding RNA (CPAP_LNC004308)". The record is from RNAcentral. Lineage: Eukaryota; Viridiplantae; Streptophyta; Magnoliopsida; Brassicales; Caricaceae.
GUUUCACCCUCAUACCAAACGGGGUAUUGAUUGAUGGUAUUUUUGGCGCUCAUACCAGACAGGGUAUGGGGACGACCGGUUAGUUGACAAUGUUGAAUAAGGGUUCACGCAUAGUGGGGACAUCCCUAUAGACUCCCAUGGAUACUAGUAGGCAGAUAAAAAGAGAAAGUUAUUGUUCUGAUUAAUUGAAUAUGAGAUUAUGAUAUUUUUUGUGUUAUUGCC